Gallus gallus (chicken) is the source of this 2305-nucleotide long non-coding RNA. RefSeq lists it as uncharacterized. The transcript is spliced from 2 exons. The record is from RefSeq and is a predicted model, not a curated record. NCBI's taxonomy places the organism in Eukaryota, Metazoa, Chordata, Aves, Galliformes, Phasianidae.
GCUCUCUCCUUUCAGACCUCAAUGAUAGCAUUAGGUUGAUUACAGAAAUGGAAUUAUCCAGCAGGAAGAAUGCAAUUAGUAGUAAAUACUUUCCCCCACAGUACAGACCUGUGCUGUAUGAUACCUUCAUUUCCACGUUUGUCUGCAGUUUCAGAAAACUACCAUCACUUGAGCAACCCAAUACAGGGAUAGGCUGCCAAGCAUAACACUCCAGAAUUGUCUAACUGGGAAAAAUACAAAUUCUUUUGUCCUGCAGAGUGAUUGUGACGUAAGUGGGACAGCUCCCCCCACACGCUUCAGAAAAUACAGAAAUGCGUGCUGCAAUGAGGCGCUCUGUUUGGAGGCGCUGCCUCAUCCCAGUAGCCAAAAGGCAGUCAAACCACAUUGGAUACUUACCAAAAGAAGUCACAGGAACAAACAAAAGAAUUUUAAAAAAUUAAUGCCAGCCAGAAGGUUUUUUUUGGGGGGCAAUGUGGACAUCAAUAACCAAAUAACAGCAAAACAAAAGCACAACAUCCUAUAACAUGAAAUGCUUAAAAGGGGGAGAAGAAUGGCUCGUACUUCCAGAAACAGUUUUCCUGGUGACAUGAGUGGAAGGAAGACCUCAAACUGAUCCCAUUUGUAAUUGCUCCUCUCUGCCUUAACGAUAAACUUCAGUUCUACGUGCCUAGGAAAUACCCAGAAUGACUUGGCGGCUCUUACAGUUACUUCAAUCCUCCACACUAAUCUUCAGAUUCCUUUGGUAAAUCAUUUGAGUUUGUCAUUUGAUAAGUUUUUCCCUCUACUUUUGUUGCUGAAAUCAGAAGCAGUCCUGGAAACAGACCGGGUUAGAAAUAUUACUACACAAAAGAGAGGGAGAUGAAUCCAAGAAGAAACUCAGAUAAGUAAGAGAUCCCCGGUAUGAAUCUAAAAAGAUGACAGUGGUAUGCUUUUGCUUUACUGAUAUUUCACACUUUCAGACUAGAAGCAAUUGUAAAGUUAUCUAGUUACACUACUAAAAUUUCAACCGCUCAGACUGACAUUUUCCAAACCAAACAUCAAUUUUAUUCUGAUGACAUCAAACUGACUACUCGAAGAACAACACUAUGAAAAGCUAAUUUUUGUCUCGAUGGAAAAAAUAUUCUCAAUUAUUAUCACAGAUAUUUUACUGUGAAUUUGUUAUCUUCGUGCUUUGGAAUAAGAAUUGGUAAUUGGAAAUAAUGGCAAUUGGAAAUGAAAUCCCUAAAUUAUGGCAUAUUCAGCACCUUAAAGAAAUUCAGUCGUAGGUUCUGGCAAAUGCUUGCAGAGUAAAUGAAGCAAAAUCUGUCCUGGAGAUUUCUAACGUGCCCAAGUUCUUACGUUUUUUCAGCACGAUGGCAAAAGGCAUAUCCCAGAAAUGGCUUAUGAGACAUUCUGCCAAAAUGAAAUCACCUCGAAGACAAACUCACCAGAAUUUUAAAAGCGUACUUCACAGUAGAGCAACAUAUUUUUCCACAGCCUUUUUUUCUCAUAAAAUUCUAACUAAUUCCAACUCAUUUUCUCAAAGAAAAAAAUCUAGCCAAGGCAGAUGUUUUGGUUUACAGGUUGGAAGUGAUGUCUCCAGAGGUCCCUUUCAUCCUAUACAAUUCUGCAAUUCUGUGAAUAUUUCAGCCUAAUAGUUAAAGUCUAGCAGACUGGUAGAAGAAGUGAAUGGCAACUGGAGAAUGGAGACCUGAUCUCAGAAAUCAUCAGCUGCAGAAGUGACGGAAUCACAUCAGACAAUCAUCCUAUAACCAAAACCAAACCAGACCCAAGUCCUUACUAAGUGCCUUGAACACACAGGAGGCCAAGCAGUGAACAGAAGCUGAGCAAUGGUUUUGACAAGACUAACACUGAAAGGAUACAUACGGAGUAGCUGCCCUCAUUUCUAAGACCCUGUGAAAAGUCUGAGAGUGUGCAGUAAAGGGCCAUGCAAAUCACUUGAAGAUUGAAAAAAAAUCUCUAGAGCCUUAAAGAUCUCAUUCUGUUUAGCUUAUGAAAUUUGUGAAGCAGCAUGAUUUUGCUAUGAAAGCGUCAGAGAGGGAAAAUGCCACAUACUAAAGAGCUCUUGAAUCCAAUGGAGAACUGCUUUAUGAAAAACAAAAGAUGGGAACUGAAGCCAGACAAACCCAGAUUUGGAAAACAAACAACCAAAAAAUUUGAGUGGAAUUAAGGACAACUCUCAAGGCAAGUGAUAGAUUCCCUUAUCCGCAUGUUUUCAAAUUAAGACCAGAGGACUUUCUGAAAAACAAAUGGAAUAUGUGCUCAGAAACAAUCAGUGGGCUUAUUAAAGAAUAAAUGCUUGAAA